AUGUGGCCCUUUUCAUCGUCCACUUCGUCGUUGGCUAAAACCAUGUUUAGCAUCGGCACUCCAGACGGCACGAUGGAGGGAAGCAGCAGCGAUUCGUCAUCGUCCAUCUCUCCGGCACCGCCGCCACGCAGCCCGCUCGACGUCGACGAGGAGUACGGCCGCGCGUUCAAGUCCAGGUCCUUCCUCGACCUCUGGUCGCACGCGCACCGCAGCCUCAGGCAGACGUUCAAGCUCUCCUCCUCCAGGCCCAGCACCAGCCUCGAAACGCUCGACGACGGCGCUGCGGCCCUGGAUAAGGAGCCGUCGUGCUCCUACACAAUUCUCGACGACUUCGAGCUGGAGCCGAGACCGGAGGCGCUCGCGCGGGCCGCUGGGCGUCGGCACCGGCGCCGGCGUCCGUGGGGGUGCCACCGACGCCACCGCGUCGAGGCGCUCCUGCUCGAGUACUUCGACGUGACCCGGGACGCCUGCGAGGCGUGCUCCGCGCUGCUCGCCGCCGUGGGCGCCGCGCGGAGGCACCACCUCGUGCUCCGGCGCCUGCUCCGCCGGCUGGACGUCGAAGGUGACGGCGAUGACAACACUACCACUGCCGCCAGGGAUGCGCUCGCGCUGCACGUCCGCCAAGACAACCCGCUCUCGCCGGCGGGCGGCAGGCUCGACGGGUUCCACGAGGCGCACGCGCGCUGCAGCCCGCUCUCCAAGCGUCUCGCCGCGGCGCGCCGCCGGCUGCGGAGGCUGGCCAAGGCGGCGCGCUUCGCCCGGUGCGCGGCCGCGACCGCGGUCGUCGGUGCGUCGGCCACGGUCGUGGUGGCCGCGGUGGUCCUAGCCGCGCACGCCGUCGUCGGCGUGGGCGCGGCCGCCGCGGUGGCCUUCUGCGCCACAUCCACCGAGCCCGUGGCGUGCCGGACGAAUACCGUCAAGAAGCUGUCCGGCCGGCUCCACGGGAGGCGAAGGCGGGGGCACGCACGCACGGGAGAGGAGGCGGUGGACGCGGCGGCGCGGGGAGCGUACAUCGUUGGGCGCGACCUCGACACGGUGAGCCGCAUGGUGCGGCGCGCGCACGACGAGCUGGAGCACGGGCGCGACAUGGCGCGCAUCGCCGUGGCGGGCCACGGCGAGCGGCCGCUGCUUGAGGAGGUGGCGCGGGAGGAGGAGGAGUGCGGGGAUGACCUGAGGUCUCAGCUGGAGGAGCUGGAGGAGCACGCCUGCCUCUGCCUCGUCACCAUCAACCGGAGCCGGAGGAUGGUGGCGCAAGAGAUGGAGCGCGCCGGGUAA
This 1275-nucleotide ribosomal RNA is filed under the name Triticum aestivum (bread wheat). RNAcentral describes it as "partial small subunit ribosomal RNA". Lineage: Eukaryota; Viridiplantae; Streptophyta; Magnoliopsida; Poales; Poaceae. The record is from RNAcentral.